AGAGUUUGAUUCUGGCUCAGGACGAACGCUGGCGGCGUGCCUAACACAUGCAAGUCGAACGGAACUAUUUUGGAGCUUGCUUUGGAAUAGUUUAGUGGCGGACGGGUGAGUAACGCGUGAGUAACCUGCCUCUCAGAGGGGGAUAACGUUCUGAAAAGGACGCUAAUACCGCAUGACAUUGCGGAGCCGCAUGGUUCUGCAAUCAAAGGAGCAAUCCGCUGAGAGAUGGACUCGCGUCCGAUUAGCCAGUUGGCGGGGUAACGGCCCACCAAAGCGACGAUCGGUAGCCGGACUGAGAGGUUGAACGGCCACAUUGGGACUGAGACACGGCCCAG
RNAcentral lists this ribosomal RNA (335 nucleotides) under uncultured bacterium. RNAcentral's name for it is "bacterial SSU rRNA". It matches the Rfam family "Bacterial small subunit ribosomal RNA", at positions 8 to 334 of the family's 1533-position model. The record is from RNAcentral.